UUUACAUUAACCUGACUUAAUUGUUUGGCUUUAGUUAUGUCAACUUACUUUCAUGAGUUCAAUUAACUUAAAAGACACACAUUUCAUCUAAAACAAACGGUUAACUUUGAGUUGACGUGAACCAAUUAAGUUGAAUGCAGUUUUACGUCUGACGUCAUUACGCAAGCUUUGCCCGAGACAGAUCCACUUCUUGUACCGACCGCUUGUGCAGCCGCCAUUUCUUCUGACCAUCGACUGUCCACCGGAUUGUAAAACAGCCUGGAGCCAAGCAUCAUCAGACCAUAGAAGUGUUUCACUUCAUGUGGAGAUGCAAAGACUGCGAGAGCUUGUUUUCCAGAAGAUCUGAAUUGCUCAAGCACUACAAACUAAACCACAGGCAUUAUGGACGGGGCUAUUCAUAUCCAUGCACAUAUUUAAGUUGCGCAUGUAGAUUCAAGACCUAAAAUUUUGGCAGAGGUGGAAUUUGCAUAAUUUUGAAGAGCAUUAUUAACCCGGUGGACAUGUGGGCUGCACAUUAUGGUGGAGGACAUUGGGAUUCGAAGGGAAUGUGUUCUGAAAGGGCUCAUCACCUUUCUUGGAGAGGAUCCAGAAGACCUUAUUAAGGAAUACAGUGGCAGCUGUGGAGAUGAUGCCCAGAUGGAUCUCAAACAACUCACCCUGGCAAUGUUUGUG
Molecule: long non-coding RNA, 672 nt
Organism: Poeciliopsis prolifica (blackstripe livebearer)
Lineage: Eukaryota; Metazoa; Chordata; Actinopteri; Cyprinodontiformes; Poeciliidae
Exons: 5
Source: RefSeq, a predicted model, not a curated record